Molecule: long non-coding RNA, 775 nt
Organism: Homo sapiens (human)
Lineage: Eukaryota; Metazoa; Chordata; Mammalia; Primates; Hominidae
Exons: 2
Source: RefSeq, a predicted model, not a curated record
UGCACCUGCUUCCCAGAGUCCUUCCCACGAGCCGGUCAUUGUUCACGCAUCCUGAGUUCCAGCCUCAGGCUGGAAACAGACCUUUCCAGAGGAGGUUGGGAAGGAGCGCACCCAACCCUAGAGAGCUGGGAAUUCCGGCAAGAGGUGACAUGGAGUGGAGAAGCCUGGAGAUGCCACUGCACCCAGUGGUGAAGGUCACAAAGUCACCAGCACCGAGACACAGGGACACCACGCCCCUGCCACCGAGCAGUCAUGAAGACCCCAGUGCAUCGUGGGAAAACCGCACCCCCCCAAGCUGAGGAGCAUUCUGCAAAAUAGCAGCCAGCAGGUUUCAAACCAUUCAGGUCAUGAAGAAAACCGGGGAACCCUCCCAGAUUGGAGGCGGCAGCACAAGGACGUGCAGCAGGGACGUCAGACCAGAGACCGUCAGGAGCACCACAGUGCCCAUCAGACCAGAGGCUCAGGGGGACCACGGUGCCCAGCAAGCAUCCUGGUUUGGCCGAGGUGCACAGAGACCAUGUACUGUGCAACUGUUAGGCAAGUUUUAAAUUAUUUCAAAGUAAGCAGAGAACUGAACAUGGGAGAUUGUCGGUUUGGAUGGGGCCCGAGAAUGAGCAUAGCCAUCUGCCCAGCCCCUAGCAGUGAACACUCCAGGAACCCCUCCUCAGCUUGGGGGAGAUGGCCACAUCCAGGGGCUCACCCAAGGCUCCAAAGCAAAGCUUGAGAAAGUUUCCAGGGAUCCAUUUGUUUAUUUACAACAGCAUUCUAGGAGAAA